RNAcentral lists this ribosomal RNA (1482 nucleotides) under uncultured bacterium. RNAcentral's name for it is "partial 16S ribosomal RNA". It matches the Rfam family "Bacterial small subunit ribosomal RNA". The record is from RNAcentral.
AGAGUUUGAUCGUGGCUCAGAACGAACGCUGGCGGCGUGGCUAAGGCAUGCAAGUCGAACGGAUGUUGUCCCUUCGGGGGCAAUGUUAGUGGCGGACGGGUGAGGAAUACAUGGACAACGUACCCUGGACUCGGGGAUAGCGGCGGGACUUCGGUUCCUUUGCGAAAGCGCCGGUAAUACCCGAUGACCCCACGGGACCGCAUGAUCCUGUGGGCAAAGUUCCGGCGGUCCGGGAGCGGUCCAUGUCCCAUCAGCUUGUUGGUGGGGUAACGGCCUACCAAGGCGGCGACGGGUACCGGGUGUGAGAGCACGACCCGGCACAUCGGGACUGAGACACUGCCCGGACACCUACGGGUGGCUGCAGCAACGAAUAUUCCGCAAUGGGCGAAAGCCUGACGGAGCGACGCCGCGUGCAGGAUGAAGUCUUUCGGGAUGUAAACUGCUGUCAGGGGUCAGAAAGAUCUGAUCAACCCCAAAGGAAGCCUCGGCUAACUCCGUGCCAGCAGCCGCGGUAAUACGGAGGAGGCAAGCGUUGUUCGGAAUCACUGGGCUUAAAGCGGGUGUAGGCGGAAUGGCAGGUGUCCUGUGAAAGCCCUCGGCUCAACCGAGGAACCGCAGGGCAAACCGCCAUUCUUGAGGCAGGUAGAGGCAAGUGGAACUAUGGGUGGAGCGGUGAAAUGCGUAGAUAUCCAUGGGAACGCCAGUGGCGAAAGCGGCUUGCUGGGCCUGUCCUGACGCUGAGACCCGAAAGCGUGGGUAGCAAACAGGAUUAGAUACCCUGGUAGUCCACGCCGUAAACGAUGCGCACUAGGUACGAGAGCUCUGACGGCGUUCGUGCCGAAGCAAAAGUGUUAAGUGCGCCGCCUGGGGAGUACGGCCGCAAGGCUAAAACUCAAAGGAAUUGACGGGGGCUCACACAAGCGGUGGAUUAUGUGGUUUAAUUCGAUGAUACGCGAGGAACCUUACCAAGACUUAAAUGGGAAUUGACAGAUUUAGAAAUAGAUCCUCCUUCGGGCAAUUUUCAAGGUGCUGCAUGGUUGUCGUCAGCUCGUGCCGUGAGGUGUUAGGUUAAGUCCUGCAACGAGCGCAACCCCUGUCACUAGUUGCCAUCAUUCAGUUGGGGACUCUAGUGAGACUGCCUACGCAAGUAGAGAGGAAGGUGGGGAUGACGUCAAAUCAUCACGGCCCUUACGUCUUGGGCCACACACGUAAUACAAUGGCCGGUACAGAGGGCAGCUACACAGCGAUGUGAUGCAAAUCUCGAAAGCCGGUCUCAGUUCGGAUUGGAGUCUGCAACUCGACUCUAUGAAGCUGGAAUCGCUAGUAAUCGCGCAUCAGCCAUGGCGCGGUGAAUACGUUCCCGGGCCUUGUACACACCGCCCGUCAAGCCAUGGAAGUCUGGGGUACCUGAAGUCGGUGACCGUAACAGGAGCUGCCUAGGGUAAAACAGGUAACUAGGGCUAAGUCGUAACAAGGUAACCA